UGCUGGAGGUAUCAGAAGUGCGAAUGCUGACAUAAGUAACGAUAAAGCGGGUGAAAAGCCCGCUCGCCGGAAGACCAAGGGUUCCUGUCCAACGUUAAUCGGGGCAGGGUGAGUCGACCCCUAAGGCGAGGCCGAAAGGCGUAGUCGAUGGGAAACGGGUUAAUAUUCCCGUACUUGGUGUUACUGCGAAGGGGGGACGGAGAAGGCUAUGUUGGCCGGGCGACGGUUGUCCCGGUUUAAGCGUGUAGGUGUGUGUUCCAGGUAAAUCCGGUUCACUUUAACACUGAGGCGUGACGACGAGGCACUACGGUGCUGAAGCAACAAAUGCCCUGCUUCCAGGAAAAGCCUCUAAGCAUCAGGUAACANAAGCGAAGCUCCUGAUCGAAGCCCCGGUAAACGGCGGCCGUAACUAUAACGGUCCUAAGGUAGCGAAAUUCCUUGUCGGGUAAGUUCCGACCUGCACGAAUGGCGUAAUGAUGGCCAGGCUGUCUCCACCCGAGACUCAGUGAAAUUGAACUCGCUGUGAAGAUGCAGUGUACCCGCGGCAAGACGGAAAGACCCCGUGAACCUUUACUAUAGCUUGACACUGAACAUUGAGCCUUGAUGUGUAGGAUAGGUGGGAGGCUUUGAAGUGUGGACGCCAGUCUGCAUGGAGCCGACCUUGAAAUACCACCCUUUAAUGUUUGAUGUUCUAACGUGGACCCGUAAUCCGGGUUGCGGACAGUGUCUGGUGGGUAGUUUGACUGGGGCGGUCUCCUCCUAAAGAGUAACGGAGGAGCACGAAGGUUGGCUAAUCCUGGUCGGACAUCAGGAGGUUAGUGCAAUGGCAUAAGCCAGCUUGACUGCGAGCGUGACGGCGCGAGCAGGUGCGAAAGCAGGUCAUAGUGAUCCGGUGGUUCUGAAUGGAAGGGCCAUCGCUCAACGGAUAAAAGGUACUCCGGGGAUAACAGGCUGAUACCGCCCAAGAGUUCAUAUCGACGGCGGUGUUUGGCACCUCGAUGUCGGCUCAUCACAUCCUGGGGCUGAAGUAGGUCCCAAGGGUAUGGCUGUUCGCCAUUUAAAGUGGUACGCGAGCUGGGUUUAGAACGUCGUGAGACAGUUCGGUCCCUAUCUGCCGUGGGCGCUGGAGAACUGAGGGGGGCUGCUCCUAGUACGAGAGGACCGGAGUGGACGCAUCACUGGUGUUCGGGUUGUCAUGCCAAUGGCACUGCCCGGUAGCUAAAUGCGGAAGAGAUAAGUGCUGAAAGCAUCUAAGCACGAAACUUGCCCCGAGAUGAGUUCUCCCUGAGACUUAGAGUCUCCUGAAGGAACGUUGAAGACGACGACGUUGAUAGGCCGGGUGUGUAAGCGCAGCGAUGCGUUGAGCUAACCGGUACUAAUGAACCGUGAGGCUUAACCUUACAACGCCGAAG
This 1412-nucleotide ribosomal RNA is filed under the name Salmonella enterica subsp. enterica serovar Typhimurium. RNAcentral describes it as "partial 23S ribosomal RNA". It matches the Rfam family "Bacterial large subunit ribosomal RNA", at positions 1271 to 2925 of the family's 2925-position model. The record is from RNAcentral. Lineage: Bacteria; Pseudomonadati; Pseudomonadota; Gammaproteobacteria; Enterobacterales; Enterobacteriaceae.